CCAAUAAGGGAAUUUUUGAUAUGUUAAUUUAUGGGAAAUAAUACCAGAGAGUGAUGAUGUACUCUCAUGAAUAGGGAGGAAUCUUAAAUACCGGUGUGCAUUUUUUAAAAACAUUUCUAAGCAUUCAGCUUAAAUAUGAUUUGGGAGAAAUUUUGAAUUUCAAAGAUUUAAAAGCUUUAUCAAGGGAAAAGGAAGCUACUUACUUUUAAUCGCAAUGUGACAUUUUAAAAUGGAAGAUAUAUUUUGAUGAUAUGAAGUCAUUAUUGAAUACUUUAUGUCAUCUAUAUCUCAGUUUCAGAAGCAUAUGUAAGUGUGCAUGAAAAUCUUUUUUGAAAUCCUUUUGAAAUAUGAUACAGAUCAAUCAAGUAGGGCUUAGUAUUUGAGACCCAUAUGUUCUUGUGCACAUGUGCACAAGUAAAUUAUUGAAAAAGAUAAAAAUGAAUGUAUUUUCUUAAUCAGUUGAUAAAGUUGUGCAAACAUAACAGAUACAUUUGCAUGAAAAUGAUUAAAAUUGAUGAUACACUCUCAUGAACAGGGAGAAAUCAUGUUCUUAAUUAUUUUAUAUUCAUCAUUUUUACUUGUAAGCUUUCAGUUAAAAGUGAUAUAUGGCAAUGAUUUGGAAGCCUCAAGAUCCACAGGCUUUAUCAAUGGAAAAGACAGUUAUUUACUCUUUAUCGCAAUGGGAGAUUUGAUGUUAGAUUGUAUAUUUUGAUCAUGUGCAGUCAUUGUGAAGUAUAAAGUGUCAUCUGCAUCAUUGUGUCACUACCAACUUUCAGUUAAAAGUGAUAUAUGGCAAUGAUUUGGAAGCCUCAAGAUCCACAGGCUUUAUCAAUGGAAAAGACAGUUAUUUACUCUUUAUCGCAAUGGGAGAUUUGAUGUUAGAUUGUAUAUUUUGAUCAUGUGCAGUCAUUGUGAAGUAUAAAGUGUCAUCUGCAUCAUUGUGUCACUACCAACUUUCAGUUAAAAGUGAUAUAUGGCAAUGAUUUGGAAGCCUCAAGAUCCACAGGCUUUAUCAAUGGAAAAGACAGUUAUUUACUCUUUAUCGCAAUGGGAGAUUUGAUGUUAGAUUGUAUAUUUUGAUGAUGUGCAGUCAUUGUGAAGUAUAAAGUGUCAUCUGCAUCAUUGUGUCACUACCAACUUUCAGUUAAAAGUGAUAUAUGGCAAUGAUUUGGAAGCCUCAAGAUCCACAGGCUUUAUCAAUGGAAAAGACAGUUAUUUACUCUUUAUCGCAAUGGGAGAUUUGAUGUUAGAUUGUAUAUUUUGAUCAUGUGCAGUCAUUGUGAAGUAUAAAGUGUCAUCUGCAUCAUUGUGUCACUACCAAGUAAGUGU
Molecule: long non-coding RNA, 1329 nt
Organism: Saccostrea cuccullata (small rock oyster)
Lineage: Eukaryota; Metazoa; Mollusca; Bivalvia; Ostreida; Ostreidae
Exons: 4
Source: RefSeq, a predicted model, not a curated record